This 246-nucleotide unclassified non-coding RNA is filed under the name Strawberry multiplier phytoplasma. RNAcentral's name for it is "16S-23S ribosomal RNA intergenic spacer". The stretch from base 104 to 177 matches the Rfam family "tRNA". The record is from RNAcentral. Lineage: Bacteria; Bacillati; Mycoplasmatota; Mollicutes; Acholeplasmatales; Acholeplasmataceae.
AAGGAAAAAAUUAUCAUCUUCAGUUUUGAGAGACUUAAGAAAGUUUUUCAUUAUAACUUGAUUGCAAAUUGUAUUUGUAACAUUUUAAUUUUUUUAAGAUUAAGGGCCUAUAGCUCAGUUGGUUAGAGCACACGCCUGAUAAGCGUGAGGUCGGUGGUUCAAGUCCAUUUAGGCCCACCAUAACCAAAAAUAGGCAAAAUCUUAAAAAAGCUCUUUGAAAAGUAGAUAAACGAAGGUUAAAAAAUC